GAGUUUGAUCCUGGCUCAGAUUGAACGCUGGCGGCAUGCCUUACACAUGCAAGUCGAACGGCAGCACGGGAGCAAUCCUGGUGGCGAGUGGCGAACGGGUGAGUAAUGCAUCGGAACGUGUCCUGUAGUGGGGGAUAGCCCGGCGAAAGCCGGAUUAAUACCGCAUACGACCUGAGGGUGAAAGCGGGGGAUCUUCGGACCUCGCGCUAUAGGAGCGGCCGAUGUCAGAUUAGGUAGUUGGUGGGGUAAAUGCCUACCAAGCCGACGAUCUGUAGCUGGUCUGAGAGGACGACCAGUCACACUGGGACUGAGACACGGCCCAGACUCCUACGGGAGGCAGCAGUGGGGAAUUUUGGACAAUGGGCGCAAGCCUGAUCCAGCCAUGCCGCGUGCAGGAAGAAGGCCUUCGGGUUGUAAACUGCUUUUGUCAGGGAAGAAAUCCUCUGGGUUAAUACCUCGGAGGGAUGACGGUACCUGAAGAAUAAGCACCGGCUAACUACGUGCCA
Molecule: ribosomal RNA, 506 nt
Filed under: uncultured bacterium
Lineage: Bacteria
Also listed under: 1 other name
Description: bacterial SSU rRNA
Rfam family: Bacterial small subunit ribosomal RNA
Source: RNAcentral